UGUAACUCUUCCUUUCCUGUCUUUCCAGCUCUUAGGAUACUUCAUAAGUCACAGUUUAGUGGGGAUUCACACACUCAUCCAUUUAAUCUUUUUUGUAUUCAUCUAUCCAUGUAUCCAUUCAUCUAUGUAUUUGAAUGCUGAGCACUCACAGCGUAGCCUUUUCAACGUGCCUGGAACCAUGUCUUACCCAUGAGAGGGGACACCAAACUCAAUAAGCCUUGGUUCCAUCCCCAGUGAGCUCAUGUAAGCAGAAAUUGAAACAGAGCCGGGUGAAAGUGCUGUGACAAAACUGUGUGAACACAGAAGAUGAAAACGCAGAGCAGCAGGUGAGGGAGAGCUUCCUGGACGAGGUGUCACCUGCACCAAGCAUUCAAGAAAGAUCAAUUGACAUUUACUACUUGCCGAAGAACAGGUUAGAAGCAAUCAGCAACCUCACUCCUGGCCUGGAAUCAAGCCGAGUGAGUCACAGAGUCCUGGACCUUGCCCAAGAAGGAAAAAAUCGUGGAAGAAAUCGUCUGGGUCCCAGGGCCAUUCCCACAUACAGGAAAAGCAGGCGCCUCCAU
RNAcentral lists this long non-coding RNA (563 nucleotides) under Rhinopithecus bieti (black snub-nosed monkey). Its description in RNAcentral is "lncRNA (ENSRBIG00000046276.1)". Lineage: Eukaryota; Metazoa; Chordata; Mammalia; Primates; Cercopithecidae. The record is from RNAcentral.